RNAcentral lists this ribosomal RNA (497 nucleotides) under uncultured bacterium. RNAcentral's name for it is "partial 16S ribosomal RNA". It matches the Rfam family "Bacterial small subunit ribosomal RNA", at positions 28 to 507 of the family's 1533-position model. The record is from RNAcentral.
GAUGAACGCUGGCGGCGUGCCUAAUACAUGCAAGUCGAGCGAACAGACGAGUAGCUUGCCCCUCUGACGUUAGCGGCGGACGGGUGAGUAACACGUGGAUAACCUACCUAUAAGACUGGGAUAACUUCGGGAAACCGGAGCUAAUACCGGAUAAUAUAUUGAACCGCAUGGUUCAAUAGUGAAAGACGGUUUUGCUGUCACUUAUAGAUGGAUCCGCGCCGCAUUAGCUAGUUGGUAAGGUAACGGCUUACCAAGGCGACGAUGCGUAGCCGACCUGAGAGGGUGAUCGGCCACACUGGAACUGAGACACGGUCCAGACUCCUACGGGAGGCAGCAGUAGGGAAUCUUCCGCAAUGGGCGAAAGCCUGACGGAGCAACGCCGCGUGAGUGAUGAAGGUCUUCGGAUCGUAAAACUCUGUUAUUAGGGAAGAACAAAUGUGUAAGUAACUAUGCACGUCUUGACGGUACCUAAUCAGAAAGCCACGGCUAACUACGUG